AGUGAACGCUGGCGGUAGGCCUAACACAUGCAAGUCGAACGGCAGCACAGGAGAGCUUGCUCUCUGGGUGGCGAGUGGCGGACGGGUGAGGAAUACAUCGGAAUCUACUUUUUCGUGGGGGAUAACGUAGGGAAACUUACGCUAAUACCGCAUACGACCUACGGGUGAAAGCAGGGGAUCUUCGGACCUUGCGCGAUUGAAUGAGCCGAUGUCGGAUUAGCUAGUUGGCGGGGUAAAGGCCCACCAAGGCGACGAUCCGUAGCUGGUCUGAGAGGAUGAUCAGCCACACGGGAAAUGAGGAACGGUACAGACUCCUACGGGGGGCAGCAAGGGGGAGUAUUGGACAAUGGGCGCACGCCGGAUCCAGCCAUACCGGGUGGGUGAAGAAGGCCUUCGGGUUGUAAAGCCCUUUUGUUGGGAAAGAAAUCCAGCUGGUUAAUACCCGGUUGGGAUGACGGUACCCAAAGAAUAAGCACCGGCUAACUUCGUGCCAGCCGCCGCCGUAA
This 506-nucleotide ribosomal RNA is filed under the name uncultured bacterium. RNAcentral's name for it is "partial 16S ribosomal RNA". It matches the Rfam family "Bacterial small subunit ribosomal RNA", at positions 29 to 523 of the family's 1533-position model. The record is from RNAcentral.